UCCGGUUUGUCACCGGCAGUCUCACAUGAGUCCCCAACUAAAUGCUGGCAACAUGCGACGGGGGUUGCGCUCGUUGCGGGACUUAACCCAACAUCUCACGACACGAGCUGACGACAGCCAUGCACCACCUGUGAUCCUGCCCCGAAGGGAAGCCGUGUUUCCACGGCGGUCAGGAACAUGUCAAGCCCAGGUAAGGUGGGGAUGACGUUGAACGGUUGGUU
RNAcentral lists this unclassified non-coding RNA (221 nucleotides) under uncultured Solirubrobacteraceae bacterium. Its description in RNAcentral is "contains 16S-23S intergenic spacer region". Lineage: Bacteria; Bacillati; Actinomycetota; Thermoleophilia; Solirubrobacterales; Solirubrobacteraceae. The record is from RNAcentral.